This 517-nucleotide ribosomal RNA is filed under the name uncultured bacterium. RNAcentral describes it as "bacterial SSU rRNA". It matches the Rfam family "Bacterial small subunit ribosomal RNA", at positions 371 to 884 of the family's 1533-position model. The record is from RNAcentral.
AUGGGGGCAACCCUGAUCCAGCGACGCCGCGUGAAGGAUGAAGGUCUUCGGAUUGUAAACUUCUUUUGGAGGGGAUGAAUGUCUGCGUGAAUAACGCAGAGUGACAGUACUCUCUGAAUAAGCCACGGCUAACUACGUGCCAGCAGCCGCGGUAAUACGUAGGUGGCAAGCGUUACUCGGAAUCACUAGGCGUAAAGCGCAGGUAGGCGGUUCGGUAAGUCUGUUGUGAAAGCUCCCGGCUCAACUGGGAGAGGCCAACGGAAACUACCGGGCUAGAGUGUGGUAGAGGUAGCUGGAAUUCCCGGUGUAGCGGUGAAAUGCGUAGAUAUCGGGAGGAAUACCUAUGGCGAAAGCAGGCUACUGGACCAUCACUGACGCUGAUCUGCGAAAGCUAGGGGAGCAAACAGGAUUAGAUACCCUGGUAGUCCUAGCCCUAAACGAUGCUCAUUAGGUGUGGGAGGUAUCGACCCCUUCCGCGCCGAAGCUAACGCAUUAAAUGAGCCGCCUGGGGAGUACG